AGUGAACGCUGGCGGUAGGCCUAACACAUGCAAGUCGAACGGCAGCACAGUAAGAGCUUGCUCUUACGGGUGGCGAGUGGCGGACGGGUGAGGAAUACAUCGGAAUCUACUUUUUCGUGGGGGAUAACGUAGGGAAACUUACGCUAAUACCGCAUACGACCUACGGGUGAAAGCAGGGGAUCUUCGGACCUUGCGCGAUUGAAUGAGCCGAUGUCGGAUUAGCUAGUUGGCGGGGUAAAGGCCAACCAAGGCGACGAUCCGUUACUGGACUGAGAGGAUAGUCAGCCACACUGGAACGGAAGCACGCUCCAGACGCCUACGGGAGGCAGCAGUCGGGAAUAUUGGGCUAUGGGCGCAAGCCUGAUCCAGCCAUACCGCGUGGGUGAAAGAGGCCUUCGGGUUGUAAAGCCCUUUUGUUGGGAAAGAAAAGCAGCAGGUUAAUACCCCGCUGUUCUGACGGUACCCAAAGAAUAAGCACCGGCUAACUUCGUG
This 492-nucleotide ribosomal RNA is filed under the name uncultured bacterium. RNAcentral's name for it is "partial 16S ribosomal RNA". It matches the Rfam family "Bacterial small subunit ribosomal RNA", at positions 29 to 507 of the family's 1533-position model. The record is from RNAcentral.